GACGAACGCUGGCGGCGUGCUUAACACAUGCAAGUCGAACGGAAAGGCCCUGCUUUUGUUGGUUGCUCGAGUGGCGAACGGGUGAGUAACACGCGAGUAACCUGCCCUUGACUUUGGGAUAACUUCAGGAAACUCGGGCUCAUACCCGAUAGGAGCUUCUGCUGCACGGUGUGGGUUGGAAAGUUUCGGCGGUUGGGGAUGUACUCGCGGCGUAUCAGCUUGUUGGUGGGGUUGUGGAUUACCAAGGCUUUCACGGGUAGCCGGCCUGAGAGGGUGACCGGCGACCCUGGCACUGACAUGAGGCACAGACUGCGACGGGAGGCAGCAGUGGGGAAUAUUGCACGAUGGGCGGCAGGUGGAUGCAGCAGCGCCGCGUGCGGGAAGACGGCCUUCGGGUGGUAAACCGCUUUCGCAUGUAACGAAGCGUGAGUGGAGGGAAUGGGUACAGAAGCACCGGCUAACUACGUG
RNAcentral lists this ribosomal RNA (468 nucleotides) under uncultured bacterium. Its description in RNAcentral is "partial 16S ribosomal RNA". It matches the Rfam family "Bacterial small subunit ribosomal RNA", at positions 28 to 507 of the family's 1533-position model. The record is from RNAcentral.